RNAcentral lists this ribosomal RNA (492 nucleotides) under uncultured bacterium. Its description in RNAcentral is "partial 16S ribosomal RNA". It matches the Rfam family "Bacterial small subunit ribosomal RNA", at positions 29 to 507 of the family's 1533-position model. The record is from RNAcentral.
AGUGAACGCUGGCGGUAUGCCUAACACAUGCAAGUCGAACGGCAGCACAGUAAGAGCUUGCUCUUACGGGUGGCGAGUGGCGGACGGGUGAGGCAUACAUCGGAAUCUACUUUUUCGUGGGGGAUAACGUAGGGCAACAUCUGCUAAUACCGGAUACGUCCUACGGGUGAAAGCAGGGGGUCUUCAGACCUUGCGCGAUUGAAUGAGCCGAUUUCGAUUUGGCUAGUUGGCGGGGUAAAGGCACACCAAGGCGACGCUCGGUAGCUGGUCUGAGAGGAUGAUCGGCCAGACUGGAACGGAGACACGGUCCAGACUCCUACGGGAGGAAGCAGUGGGGAAUAUUGGGCAAUGGGCGAAAGCCUGAUACAGCAAUACCGCGUGAGUGAAGAAGGCCUUCGGGUUGUAAAGCCCUGUUGUUGGGAAAGAAAAGAAGCAGGUUAAUACGCGGCUAUUCUGACGGUACCCAAAGAAUAAGCACCGGCUAACUUCGUG